This is a long non-coding RNA of Gallus gallus (chicken), 1769 nucleotides long. The record is from Ensembl. NCBI's taxonomy places the organism in Eukaryota, Metazoa, Chordata, Aves, Galliformes, Phasianidae.
AUGAAAUGAAUUGAAAAUGAGAAGGUUGGGUGGGAUGAUCUCUGUGGUCUUUUCCCACCUCCAUGAGCAGUGUUUGCUUUCCCAGCUCCUUCCCCGGCAGCCCACAGCAGACGUCUGGGGGGAGCAGCACUGCUUGCCUCUUGAAGGGUGAUUUCAUGGCCAGGCCGGGAAUGUGCGCCGCGUCCCUCUGCCACGGGGCAGAGAUGCUGCUGGAGGAGGUUCUGCUCAUCUGCUGUGCUCCUGAGAUGGGCACCCUCUGCACCGCCAAGGGGCCUGCUGCUGGCUCUGAGCGCUGUGUGCUGCUGGACAGCCGGCUGUGCUCGUGCUGUAGGGGGGCCAUGCGGUUUGGCAAGGGGCUGAAUGGGGACCCAGCACCAUCUGCAGCACAGAGCGGGCGUGAGACCCCCAGAGCCCCAGAGCUGGCCUUGGGCAAACAGGGAAACCCAACCCACAGCGAGCCCUGCGCAUGGACAGGGCUGUGCCUGGCCAUGGCCACAAGCCCAGGUCUGCGGGAGUGGGGACCCAGGUGGAAUGCUGUGCCAUCUCUGCAUCUGCAGCACCACAAACACAGCCCAUACACACAUCUGGGCUUUCCUUGGAACCCCGUGGCUUUUGAAGGCUGUGUCAGCUCAGUGAGCAGCUCCUCCAGCUUGGGGCAUCCUCCUUGGGGAUGCAGUCAGUGGCAGGGAGAACAAACAGACAGCACCGGGGCAGGAAUGGUGUGUAAGGUAGAACCCAGGGUGGAUUCGGGAACAGAUACAGGCAGGGAGUUGAAAGUCACACGUGGAGGCGUGAGGGAGACAUUAGGUUUGCCAUCAAAGGCUCAUCCCCAUGGUCUGGGCAUCCAAGACCAUUUUGCUUAAUUACAUCCUGAAAGUGUGCAAAAGAAGUGCUGGGAGAGAGGAUUUCACAGCAGUCCUGCAGGCUGGAGGGAGGGGAACUGCAGAGGAGGAGGCUGAAGUGCUCCUGUCCCAACCAGAGAAACAGCCAGGGCCGUGCAAACGGGCAGAAGAGCCCCGUGGUGCCCAGCCCAGCCCAGAAGAGGGCCGAGGGAAGAGCCAGCAUCACCCCGCACUGCACUGCACACCCAUACACGUUCAUGCUCCUAAUCGUAUCCAGUUCCAGGUUAGUAAUGAGCAGAGUUGCCUGAGCAUCGCAGGGGCAUCGUGGGAGCUCUGAAACAAGUACAGGAUCAGCAAGGAAAAUAUCUGAUGGCGAUUACAGCAACCAGGUUGGGAACCAGGCAGGAGGAAUUGUUCAGCAUGGUUUGGGGCCGACACUCAGCCUGGGGAAGUGCUGCAUGCAGAACGUGAUCCAUCACAGCUCCUGCUGAAUCCCCCCAAAGGGGAAAUGUGGAGCACUCAGUCCAAGCUGGUGGGGUUGUGAUACACUGGGAAGGAGCAGACUCGUGUCUUCCAGGAGCUGGAAGUCUUCCUCCAACAGAGGCAGCCCAGGAUGAAUGGGCGCUGGGAGGGGCGGCCUUUGGGCACAGGGGAGGUAGGGGCAGUGCCAAGGCUGUGUGAGCAGCCCCAUUUGCACAGGGAAGGAGCAUCCCUGGGUGUACGUUUCCCUGGGAAGGGCACCAGGCGCAGGCAGCGGGGAGCAUUCAGCAGGGGAUGGCCACACAGCACAGGGUCACAUCUCCUGAGUUCUUCACCCUCUGCUCUCGUCUUUCCCCCCUCCGUCUCCCUGUGCUCUGCAACUUCCUGGCCAUCCUCCCCCACCGUUUCCCAUUACUUCCUCUCCCUCCCCUUCCUGCCCCUUCCCAG